CUACUGUCAUUUCGUCUUGUUAUGCGUUUGGUCCAGGUACGUGCAUCUCUGUGGUUUUGCCACGUGAUGCUAAUUUUCUAUGUAUUUCACAAUGUUGAGUUGUAUGGAUCUUAUGGCAACUGAUCCAUGCUGAAGCGUAACUUGCCAUAUUGUCUGGGUAUUCUUCUAACAGUGUGUUUUUUUUGUGAAAUGUAGAAGGAGGAUGUUUCAUGCCUUUCCUGAGUUGCAAUCUGGACUUGUGCAGGCGUGACUGCAACGGUUUACUUGCCUCUUGCCAAAUGAUAGGCGAGUUUCACCACCGAUGUUGUUGCGCUCCCAAGAAACUCAAUGCAUCUACUGAUAAGAAUAGUCGUCCUUGAGAUAUGCAUUCCGAUAUUAUAGUUUAUAGGUCACUGCUUUUUCCUGGAUCCAAUUCUGCCCGAUUGAAUAAAAUUUAUCACCAUUGAAAAAAUGUUGCUCCCGAGAUAUUUAUGUAUUGUGUGAAGCCGUAAUGCUUCGUUUGGAUGUUCAUAUUCAGACCUCAACAUUGAUAUUGGGGCCAAUAUCAAUUGAACUUGGACAUUGAUAUUGACAUUUAAGACAAAUUUUGCUGUUUGGAUGUUGAUAUAUUUGACACUUCAACAUUGACAAUGAGACCAAGUUACACUUCAACAUUCCAAAAGAGAGCAUUGCAACCCACAAAAUUUCAGAAGAACGACAUAACAUAGAGAAGGAAAAAAGGCCGUCAAGACAAUAUUCAAGAAGAACACAAGUGCCCAGUGCUUGUUGGCUCUUGUGCUCAUCGCUACUGUCAUUUCAUCUUGCGAUGCGUUUGGCCCAGGUACGUGCAUCUCUGACCUAACUAUAAGUCACUGUGGUUUUGCCAUGUGAUGCUAAUUUUCUAUAUAGUUCACAAUAUUGAGUUGUAUGGAUCUUAUGGCAUCUGGUCCAUGCUGAAGCGUACCUUGCCAUGUUGUCUGGCUAUUCUUCUAACAAUGUAUUUUUUUUGUUUGUGAACAUGUAGAAGGAGGAUGUUUCAUGCCUUUCAUGAGUUGCGAUCUGGACUUGUGCAGGCGUGACUGCAACGGUUUAUCUGCCUCUUGCCAAAUGAUAGGCGAGUUUCACCACCGAUGUUGUUGCGCUCCCAAGAAACUCAGUGCAUCUAUUGAUAAGAAUAGUCAUCCUUGAGAUAUGCAUUCCGAAAUUGUAGUUUAUAUGUCACUGCUUUUUCCUGGAUCCAAUUCUGCCUGAUUGAAUAAAAUUUAUCACCAUUGAAAAAAUAUCACUCCCGAGAUAUUUACGUAUCGUGUGAAACCGUAAUGCUUCGUUUGGAUGUUCAUAUUCAGACCUCGGCAUUGAUAUUGGGGCCAAUAUC
RNAcentral lists this long non-coding RNA (1354 nucleotides) under Triticum aestivum (bread wheat). RNAcentral describes it as "long non-coding RNA (TAES_LNC002631)". Lineage: Eukaryota; Viridiplantae; Streptophyta; Magnoliopsida; Poales; Poaceae. The record is from RNAcentral.